RNAcentral lists this ribosomal RNA (253 nucleotides) under uncultured bacterium. Its description in RNAcentral is "partial 16S ribosomal RNA". It matches the Rfam family "Bacterial small subunit ribosomal RNA", at positions 524 to 776 of the family's 1533-position model. The record is from RNAcentral.
UACGAAGGGGGCUAGCGUUGCUCGGAAUUACUGGGCGUAAAGGGCGCGUAGGCGGUCUGUUAAGUUCGGUGUGAAAGCCCCCGGCUCACCUGGGGAACUGCGCCGGAAACCGACAGACUCGAGUACCGGAGAGGAGGGUGGAAUUCCUGGUGUAGCGGUGAAAUGCGUAGAUAUCAGGAGGAACACCGGUGGCGAAGGCGGCCCUCUGGACGGAUACUGACGCUGAGGCGCGAAAGCGUGGGGAUCAAACAGG